Long non-coding RNA from Falco peregrinus (peregrine falcon), 541 nucleotides. RefSeq lists it as uncharacterized. NCBI's taxonomy places the organism in Eukaryota, Metazoa, Chordata, Aves, Falconiformes, Falconidae. The transcript is spliced from 3 exons. The record is from RefSeq and is a predicted model, not a curated record.
AGGUCCUGUCUCACUUUAGCAAAGAGGUACCUUGUGAAAGCUCUGAAGAGGUGGAGAGACAAAAUGUGCAUCAAAAAUUUAAUGAGCUUUUAGGUUAUCCUCAUGGAAUCUCAGUUCACCCACCCAAUAAGACUGAUCACUUCACUCAGCUGAAAUGGAUAGCAUAGAGCUCAGAGAAAUCACACCAAACUUCCAGUACAAUAUGUGAGUUCAGAAUUGGGAACAGUCUCUUUGGUAUAUUAAUUGGGAAACUUUAAGAAGCUAUUGUAAUGCUAUGCAGCUGAGAUUUUAAGUCUUUGUACUUUAGUCAGAGAAUCAUGCAAAAUAUUUCAUUCAAUCUUCCAUUGCAUCUCUUCCCAGAAGAAUAAAAAAAAUCAAAUGUGAUUUCUGCUUCUCCUGUAAUCCUUGUUUCUGUGUAGAAAUACAGCAUAUUUCUGAUAGUCUAGUGGCAUAUCUUAACAAAAAGUUUCAGUUAAGAGACAGAUUUUUCAAGACAACUUUAUGUUAAAUUUUCAUGAAGCAUCAAAAACUUUUUUUUGGA